UGGAGCAGCACAACAUUCUCCACUGGUAGGCAUUCGUUGACGAGAAGCUUGGCCAAACCCAGUAGGUAUGCGUGGAAUUAUUGAGCUCAGGUUUUUUGGGAUUAAGAUUCUUACACCAAAGGAUCACUAUAUGCCAAGACUUCGAGGAUGAUAAGAGCGGAAGAUUUGGAUUUAAUUGUUAGGCUCGAUGGCUCAAAAUACGACAAGGAAUCAACUGAAAGAGGAACAUGUAUGAAUCGUACGGAAGAACUACUAUAUGCUAUUAAGAAUAAUUCGGUGUCUAAGAAACAUGGCGAUAUUAUAAUAAUCUCUCGGAUCCAUAUGUAUUUCAUUACUAGAUACAUCCGUUUGGCAUAAGUUUCUUUUCAUUCUGAACCUAA
Long non-coding RNA from Triticum dicoccoides, 380 nucleotides. RefSeq lists it as uncharacterized. The record is from RefSeq and is a predicted model, not a curated record. The transcript has 4 exons. Lineage: Eukaryota; Viridiplantae; Streptophyta; Magnoliopsida; Poales; Poaceae.